Molecule: ribosomal RNA, 492 nt
Filed under: uncultured bacterium
Lineage: Bacteria
Description: partial 16S ribosomal RNA
Rfam family: Bacterial small subunit ribosomal RNA
Source: RNAcentral
AGUGAACGCUGGCGGUAGGCCUAACACAUGCAAGUCGAACGGCAGCACAGUAAGAGCUUGCUCUUACGGGUGGCGAGUGGCGGACGGGUGAGGAAUACAUCGGAAUCUACUUUUUCGUGGGGGAUAACGUAGGGAAACUUACGCUAAUACCGCAUACGACCUACGGGUGAAAGCAGGGGAUCUUCGGACCUUGCGCGAUUGAAUGAGCCGAUGUCGGAUUAGCUAGUUGGCGGGGUAAAGGCCCACCAAGGCGACGAUCCGUAGCUGGUCUGAGAGGAUGAUCAGCCACACUGGAACAGAGACAAGGUCCAGACUCCUACGGGAGGCAGCAGUGGGGAAUAUUGGACAAUGGGCGCGAGCCUGAUCCAGCCAUGCCGCGUGGGUGAAGAAGGCCUUCGGGUUGUAAAGCCCUUUUGUUGGGAAAGAAAAGCAGCAGGUUAAUACCCCGCUGUUCUGACGGUACCCAAAGAAUAAGCACCGGCUAACUUCGUG